Molecule: ribosomal RNA, 374 nt
Filed under: uncultured organism
Description: bacterial SSU rRNA
Rfam family: Bacterial small subunit ribosomal RNA
Source: RNAcentral
CGGGGGGAGCAGGCGUUGUUCGGAUUUACUGGGCGUAAAGGGCGCGUAGGCGGCCACCGCAAGUCGACUGUGAAAUCUCCGGGCUUAACCCGGAAAGGUCAGCCGAUACUGCGGGGCUAGAGUGCAGAAGGGGCAACUGGAAUUCUCGGUGUAGCGGUGAAAUGCGUAGAUAUCGAGAGGAACACCUGCGGCGAAGGCGGGUUGCUGGGCUGACACUGACGCUGAGGCGCGAAAGCUAGGGGAGCGAACGGGAUUAGAUACCCCGGUAGUCCUAGCCUUAAACGAUGAAUGCUUGGUGUCUGGGGUUUUAUAGUCCCCGGGUGCCGUCGCUAACGCUUUAAGCAUUCCGCCUGGGGAGUACGGUCGCAAGACUG